This 605-nucleotide ribosomal RNA is filed under the name uncultured bacterium. Its description in RNAcentral is "bacterial SSU rRNA". It matches the Rfam family "Bacterial small subunit ribosomal RNA", at positions 469 to 1064 of the family's 1533-position model. The record is from RNAcentral.
AUGACGGUACCUGAAAGAAAUAAGCACCCGGCUAAACUAACGUGCCAGCAAGCCGCGGUAAUACGUAGGGUGCAAGCGUUAAUCGGAAAUUACUGGGCGUAAAGCGUGCGCAGGCGGUUGUGUAAGACAGGUGUGAAAUCCCCGGGCUUUAACCUGGGAAUGGCAUUUGUGACUGCACGGCUAGAGUGUGUCAGAGGGGGGUAGAAUUCCACGUGUAGCAGUGAAAUGCGUAGAGAUGUGGAGGAAUACCGAUGGCGAAGGCAGCCCCCUGGGAUAACACUGACGCUCAUGCACGAAAGCGUGGGGAGCAAACAGGAUUAGAUACCCUGGUAGUCCACGCCCUAAACGAUGUCUACUAGUUGUCGGGUCUUAAUUGACUUGGUAACGCAGCUAACGCGUGAAGUAGACCGCCUGGGGAGUACGGUCGCAAGAUUAAAACUCAAAGGAAUUGACGGGGACCCGCACAAGCGGUGGAUGAUGUGGAUUAAUUCGAUGCAACGCGAAAAACCUUACCUACCCUUGACAUGUACGGAAUCCUUCAGAGAUGAGGGAGUGCUCGAAAGAGAACCGUAACACAGGUGCUGCAUGGCUGUCGUCAGCUCGUG